UACGGGGGGGAGCAAGCGUUGUUCGGAUUUACUGGGCGUAAAGGGCGCGUAGGCGGCGUGACAAGUCACUUGUGAAAUCUCCGGGCUUAACUCGGAACGGUCAAGUGAUACUGUCGUGCUAGAGUACAGAAGGGGCAACUGGAAUUCUCGGUGUAGCGGUGAAAUGCGUAGAUAUCGAGAGGAACACCUGCGGCGAAGGCGGGUUGCUGGGCUGAUACUGACGCUGAGGCGCGAAAGCC
Molecule: ribosomal RNA, 239 nt
Filed under: uncultured bacterium
Lineage: Bacteria
Description: partial 16S ribosomal RNA
Rfam family: Bacterial small subunit ribosomal RNA
Source: RNAcentral